UGCCCAUAAUUUUGUAUUAUCAUACACGUAUAUAAUAUUUUUGUGUAGAACAAAUCGAUUUAUAUAUUCGUACAACAGGUACACAAAAUUCUCAUGCAAUAUCCAUGGAAAUAAACCUUUGAUUCGCAGAUUCAGGCAGCACAAGAUUUGAUGAAUCGACUGAUCAACCUUACCAUUGUUCAAUCUAAACUCUUAAGGUCCACGAAGGUUAAACCAUUAAAGUUCUCAACAUACAAUUUUUCUACCAGAUAAAAUGAACGGUUCGUUUGUGGAAAUCCCCUGGGCAAAUAUCAUUGAAUAGAAGAUGGAAUUGCAAAUUCUCAACGUCCUAACGCAAAAUUCUGAACAAUAUACAUCUGCUGGAACGCUGAUCUAAAAUAAAUUAUUUCUGCUUCAUGAUCUAAAACCUCAAUUUCCCACUAUUUUUCAUUCUUUCUUUUUAGAUAUUUUACUUUUCUCAACCCAAUACAUACAAAACAGGCAAAGUUAAAUACCAUUUCAAUCCAAAUGCAUCAGCCUUUAAGAAUUAUCUAAGCUAAACAGUCAGUAGCAUUGAUUUGCUUGUAUGCCUCUUCCGUGUUUUCGUCUUGCUACGCUUAAUUGGAAACCAAUUCAGAUCAUCAAUGCAGUUCAAAUCACACCCUACUUGUCCCCACCUCCAAACAUCCCCAUCAUAUCCUUUGCAGAACCCAUUUGCUUCAUUAGAUUUUGCAAGCCACCCAUUCCACCAAUUUGCUUCAGCAUCUGU
This 748-nucleotide unclassified non-coding RNA is filed under the name Hevea brasiliensis (rubber tree). The record is from RNAcentral. Lineage: Eukaryota; Viridiplantae; Streptophyta; Magnoliopsida; Malpighiales; Euphorbiaceae.